RNAcentral lists this transfer RNA (67 nucleotides) under Trichobilharzia szidati. RNAcentral describes it as "tRNA-Ala". The record is from RNAcentral. Lineage: Eukaryota; Metazoa; Platyhelminthes; Trematoda; Strigeidida; Schistosomatidae.
AAUGGCGUAGUUUAAAUUUAAGAAUUAUUAUUCUGCAAAUAAUAGGUGAAUUUUGUUUCCGCUGUUA